RNAcentral lists this ribosomal RNA (253 nucleotides) under uncultured bacterium. RNAcentral describes it as "partial 16S ribosomal RNA". It matches the Rfam family "Bacterial small subunit ribosomal RNA", at positions 524 to 776 of the family's 1533-position model. The record is from RNAcentral.
UACGUAGGGUCCGAGCGUUGUCCGGAAUUAUUGGGCGUAAAGAGCUCGUAGGCGGUUUGUCGCGUCUGCUGUGAAAUCCCGAGGCUCAACCUCGGGCCUGCAGUGGGUACGGGCAGACUGGAGUGCGGUAGGGGAGAAUGGAAUUCCUGGUGUAGCGGUGGAAUGCGCAGAUAUCAGGAGGAACACCGGUGGCGAAGGCGGUUCUCUGGGCAUGUUCUGACGCUGAGGAGCGAAAGUGUGGGGAGCGAACAGG